Molecule: non-coding RNA, 159 nt
Filed under: Micavibrio sp.
Lineage: Bacteria; Pseudomonadati; Bdellovibrionota; Bdellovibrionia; Bdellovibrionales; Pseudobdellovibrionaceae
Description: 6S RNA
Rfam family: 6S / SsrS RNA
About the family: E. coli 6S RNA was the first non coding RNA to be sequenced, but its function was unknown until recently. It consists of 184 nucleotides that fold into an extended hairpin structure with a large single-stranded internal bulge. The 6S RNA specifically associates with RNA polymerase holoenzyme containing the sigma70 specificity factor.
Source: RNAcentral
AGCUUGCUGCCUGAUGCGAUAGGGACCAAUAUCCCCAGGGCCGAUAAUCUUCGUAUAGGGAACUGUGCCUUUGUUAGACCGUGGUCUAGCAGAUACGGUGCCCACCUGUUUUACAGGGCCGCGGAGGAAUUUUUACCCACCGGUCAGUGCGGCAAGCUU